CAGGGAGACAACAAAAUGUUAAAUAUUAAUUUUGUCACCUUAGGUCGAUCGGUAUCUCACAUUCUUGAUUAUUUAAGGAUUUUAUUUCCUAAGUUUUUUCUAGGUCACACCCAUUACUUUUCCUGGGCCAUUAGCUCAGGUGGUUAGAGCGCACCCCUGAUAAGGGUGAGGUCCCUGGUUCAAGUCCAGGAUGGCCCAUAUCUCUAUGUUGGGGGUAUAGCUCAGUUGGUAGAGCGCCUGCUUUGCAAGCAGGAUGUCAGCGGUUCGAGUCCGCUUACCUCCACUGAUUACCACCUCUUCCAUAACUGGUAAAAAGGAAAUGUUUUGAGUUGUGAUCAAAUUCUGAAAGAAUCCAGCUUCCUAAUGAAAUCAUUAAGAUGCUGGACUCAUUGAAUUAAUUUCAUUGUUUUCAGAGAACCUUGACAACUGCAUAGAUUAUUUUUAAAGACAAUAAGCAUCUUUAAUGAUGCAGAUUUAUUAUUUGUGCGAAUGCAUUAAUAACAAUUCUAUUAAGCUGAUGCUUCAAUAUUUGAAGUUAUU
RNAcentral lists this transfer RNA (540 nucleotides) under uncultured cyanobacterium. RNAcentral's name for it is "partial 16S-23S ribosomal RNA intergenic spacer". The stretch from base 211 to 283 matches the Rfam family "tRNA". Lineage: Bacteria; Bacillati; Cyanobacteriota. The record is from RNAcentral.